CAAGUGGAGCCUUCAGUUUGCUUAGAUUCUUCGGAUGAAGAGGAUUGUGACUGAGCGGCGGAUGGGUGAGUAACGCGUGGGUAACCUGCCUCAUACAGGGGGAUAACAGUUAGAAAUGACUGCUAAUACCGCAUAAGACCACAGCACCGCAUGGUGCGGGGGUAAAAACUCCGGUGGUAUGAGAUGGACCCGCGUCUGAUUAGCUAGUUGGUAAGGUAACGGCUUACCAAGGCGACGAUCAGUAGCCGACCUGAGAGGGUGACCGGCCACAUUGGGACUGAGACACGGCCCAAACUCCUACGGGAGGCAGCAGUGGGGAAUAUUGCACAAUGGGGGAAACCCUGAUGCAGCGACGCCGCGUGAGCGAAGAAGUAUUUCGGUAUGUAAAGCUCUAUCAGCAGGGAAGAAAAUGACGGUACCUGACUAAGAAGCACCGGCUAAAUACGUGCCAGCAGCCGCGGUAAUACGUAUGGUGCAAGCGUUAUCCGGAUUUACUGGGUGUAAAGGGAGCGUAGACGGAUGGGCAAGUCUGAUGUGAAAACCCGGGGCUCAACCCCGGGACUGCAUUGGAAACUGUUCAUCUAGAGUGCUGGAGAGGUAAGUGGAAUUCCUAGUGUAGCGGUGAAAUGCGUAGAUAUUAGGAGGAACACCAGUGGCGAAGGCGGCUUACUGGACAGUAACUGACGUUGAGGCUCGAAAGCGUGGGGAGCAAACAAGAUUAGAUACCCUGGUAGUCCACGCCGUAAACGAUCACUACUAGGUGUCGGGUGGCAAAGCCAUUCGGUGCCGCAGCAAACGCAAUAAGUAGUCCACCUGGGGAGUACGUUCGCAAGAAUGAAACUCAAAGGAAUUGACGGGGACCCGCACAAGCGGUGGAGCAUGUGGUUUAAUUCGAAGCAACGCGAAGAACCUUACCUGCUCUUGACAUCCCGCUGACCGGACGAUAAUGCGUCCUUCCCUUCGGGGCAGCGGAGACAGGUGGUGCAUGGUUGUCGUCAGCUCGUGUCGUGAGAUGUUGGGUUAAGUCCCGCAACGAGCGCAACCCCUAUCUUUAGUAGCCAGCGGCCAGGCCGGGCACUCUAGAGAGACUGCCGGGGAUAACCCGGAGGAAGGUGGGGAUGACGUCAAAUCAUCAUGCCCCUUAUGAGCAGGGCUACACACGUGCUACAAUGGCGUAAACAAAGGGAAGCGAGACCGCGAGGUGGAGCAAAUCCCAAAAAUAACGUCUCAGUUCGGAUUGUAGUCUGCAACUCGACUACAUGAAGCUGGAAUCGCUAGUAAUCGCGAAUCAGAAUGUCGCGGUGAAUACGUUCCCGGGUCUUGUACACACCGCCCG
This 1336-nucleotide ribosomal RNA is filed under the name uncultured bacterium. RNAcentral describes it as "bacterial SSU rRNA". It matches the Rfam family "Bacterial small subunit ribosomal RNA", at positions 58 to 1396 of the family's 1533-position model. The record is from RNAcentral.